RNAcentral lists this long non-coding RNA (371 nucleotides) under Salvia miltiorrhiza (redroot sage). Its description in RNAcentral is "long non-coding RNA (SMIL_LNC010565)". Lineage: Eukaryota; Viridiplantae; Streptophyta; Magnoliopsida; Lamiales; Lamiaceae. The record is from RNAcentral.
UAUAUACAACUUUUAUUUACCUAUAUAUAUCUUGUCGCAUAUACUAUUAAUUAAUUUUACAGAUCAUGUUAUUUAAUUUCUUCACUCACAAAUUUGUCUCCUCUUCAUCCAAUCCAUCGACCUGAUCAUCCUUUGGUAGUAAACCUUAAUAUAUCAAAUGCUUUUAACUUGUAGUCCAACAGUUUGUAAUAAUUUUAAGAACUGGGUUUAAAAAAAGGAAAAAAAAUGAAAUAUUGAUUUUCUUUCUGUACUUGGAAACUGAUGUGUGCAUGCUCUUAAUUUAAAGAAAUUGUACGGAUUUCCCUUUCAACAUGAAAAAACAAAAACAAAAACAAAAAAGAUAAGUCCAUCAACUUGCAAAUAAAAAUUCC